MicroRNA precursor from Chlorocebus sabaeus (green monkey), 64 nucleotides. NCBI's taxonomy places the organism in Eukaryota, Metazoa, Chordata, Mammalia, Primates, Cercopithecidae. The record is from Ensembl.
CAUGAGUUGAAAAUAUCCUAAGUUGAAAGUGCAUUUACAACUUAGGAUAUUUUCAACUCACGAU